CUCUUGCUGGAGAUCCCUGCCUACCUGAGGCCUUUCAAAGUACUGAGCCAGGAUUCUUCCAUGGUGUGAGAAGGCAAUCUGCAGUUCUGUCUCAGCACUGCAGGUUCCCGCAGGGCUGGAAGCUCCAGUUCGGUAGGUAAGGCUGCCAUCUGGUGGGGUCCUUCUGCACAGCACCCUGUCUUGCCAAGGGGACAAGGGGCAGCAGCCCUGAGACCUCGAGGGCUCUCACCCUCCUCUGAUGACCUCUGAGAAAUAAUAUUGAGAGAUGUUUCAAUACUAAAGCAAAAAUCAAUAGGAUGGAUGCUUUUAAGUGGUUUGAGAAACCUGCUUGUCACCUCCUAGCCCCAGUGCUGCAGUGGCACUCUUCCCAUGGAGAGCCUGUUUGGGGGAAGGGCUCCUUGCUGUGAUGGUGUCACACAGUGCCUGUGUCCACCAGCUGCUGCUUGAAGGAUGAAAUGACAACAUGUAUUUAAUGUUCCCUAUAUGCUCACUAGGCAGCUGGGCACCCACCCAUCCACUGGCAGAUUGGCUGUUAGCUUGGGGUGUACUCAUGGUAUCAGUGCAGAAAAACUGUAGGAAUGCCCUCACUAAAGAGAUGCUGCUAGUUCCCCUCCUGGAAAUUGCAGCAACGGCCAACAAUACAUCACUGCCUUUAGCCUGGAGCCUAGCGUAUCACUGUAUCGGGUAAGUUGCAUCAAAUAUAUUAAUGUAUGAAUUCAGACUGCGUGCAUUGUGCUAAAUCUUAAGUAAAAGAGAAUACACUGAGGUUAGACAACAAAGAAAUUAUUUACUGUGAGGUUGUGAGGCAUUGGCACAGGCUGCCCAGAGAAGCUGUGGGUUUUCCAUCUCUGGAGGUGCUCAAGGCCAGGUCAGAUGGGCCUUUAGCAAACUGGUCAGGUGGAUCUACCCCUGCCAUGGCUGACGGAUUGGUGCUAGAUGGUCUUCAGGGUCCCUUCCAACCCAAACCACUCUGUGAC
Molecule: non-coding RNA, 977 nt
Organism: Meleagris gallopavo (turkey)
Lineage: Eukaryota; Metazoa; Chordata; Aves; Galliformes; Phasianidae
Source: RefSeq, a predicted model, not a curated record